AACGCAUCUUGCGCUCCUUGGUAUUCCGAGGAGCAUGCCUGUUUGAGUGUCAUUUAACUUCUCAACCAUAUUGGAUAUUUUUUUCAAUGUUGGCUUGGAUGUGGGGGUUGUUUGCAGGCUUUUUGUAACAAAAAGGUCGGCUCUCCUGAAAUAUAUUAGUGGUAUCCGAGGCUAUUGCUAUUAGGUGUGAUAAUUAUCUAUGCCUUUUGGUUAUGCCGCAUGAGCAGAUUAUGCUGCUUCUAAUGAAAACUAUUUUGAUGAAUUUGACCUCAAAUCAGGUAGGACUACCCGCUGAACUUAA
RNAcentral lists this unclassified non-coding RNA (301 nucleotides) under uncultured fungus. RNAcentral's name for it is "partial contains 5.8S ribosomal RNA, internal transcribed spacer 2, and large subunit ribosomal RNA". The stretch from base 1 to 52 matches the Rfam family "5.8S ribosomal RNA", at positions 103 to 154 of the family's 154-position model. Lineage: Eukaryota; Fungi. The record is from RNAcentral.